RNAcentral lists this ribosomal RNA (834 nucleotides) under Escherichia coli. RNAcentral describes it as "partial 23S ribosomal RNA". It matches the Rfam family "Bacterial large subunit ribosomal RNA", at positions 612 to 1445 of the family's 2925-position model. The record is from RNAcentral. Lineage: Bacteria; Pseudomonadati; Pseudomonadota; Gammaproteobacteria; Enterobacterales; Enterobacteriaceae.
AUAAUGGGUCAGCGACUUAUAUUCUGUAGCAAGGUUAACCGAAUAGGGGAGCCGAAGGGAAACCGAGUCUUAACUGGGCGUUAAGUUGCAGGGUAUAGACCCGAAACCCGGUGAUCUAGCCAUGGGCAGGUUGAAGGUUGGGUAACACUAACUGGAGGACCGAACCGACUAAUGUUGAAAAAUUAGCGGAUGACUUGUGGCUGGGGGUGAAAGGCCAAUCAAACCGGGAGAUAGCUGGUUCUCCCCGAAAGCUAUUUAGGUAGCGCCUCGUGAAUUCAUCUCCGGGGGUAGAGCACUGUUUCGGCAAGGGGGUCAUCCCGACUUACCAACCCGAUGCAAACUGCGAAUACCGGAGAAUGUUAUCACGGGAGACACACGGCGGGUGCUAACGUCCGUCGUGAAGAGGGAAACAACCCAGACCGCCAGCUAAGGUCCCAAAGUCAUGGUUAAGUGGGAAACGAUGUGGGAAGGCCCAGACAGCCAGGAUGUUGGCUUAGAAGCAGCCAUCAUUUAAAGAAAGCGUAAUAGCUCACUGGUCGAGUCGGCCUGCGCGGAAGAUGUAACGGGGCUAAACCAUGCACCGAAGCUGCGGCAGCGACGCUGAUGCGUUGUUGGGUAGGGGAGCGUUCUGUAAGCCUGCGAAGGUGUGCUGUGAGGCAUGCUGGAGGUAUCAGAAGUGCGAAUGCUGACAUAAGUAACGAUAAAGCGGGUGAAAAGCCCGCUCGCCGGAAGACCAAGGGUUCCUGUCCAACGUUAAUCGGGGCAGGGUGAGUCGACCCCUAAGGCGAGGCCGAAAGGCGUAGUCGAUGGGAAACAGGUUAAUAUUCCUGUACU